Astyanax mexicanus (Mexican tetra) is the source of this 54-nucleotide regulatory RNA element. It matches the Rfam family "UnaL2 LINE 3' element". From Rfam's summary of the family: The eel long interspersed element (LINE) UnaL2 and its partner short interspersed element (SINE) share a conserved 3' tail containing a stem-loop that is critical for their retrotransposition. Presumably, the first step of retrotransposition is the recognition of their 3' tails by UnaL2-encoded reverse transcriptase. NCBI's taxonomy places the organism in Eukaryota, Metazoa, Chordata, Actinopteri, Characiformes, Acestrorhamphidae. The record is from Rfam.
UACAUUAUUAUGUGUAAGUCUCUUUGGAUAAAAGUGUCUGCUAAAUGCAAUGUA